GGGUUGUGAGGUUAAGCGACUAAGCGUACACGGUGGAUGCCCUGGCAGUCAGAGGCGAUGAAGGACGUGCUAAUCUGCGAUAAGCGUCGGUAAGGUGAUAUGAACCGUUAUAACCGGCGAUUUCCGAAUGGGGAAACCCAGUGUGAUUCGUCACACUAUCAUUAA
This 165-nucleotide ribosomal RNA is filed under the name Escherichia coli. RNAcentral's name for it is "partial 23S ribosomal RNA". It matches the Rfam family "Bacterial large subunit ribosomal RNA", at positions 1 to 157 of the family's 2925-position model. RNAcentral also lists the same sequence under 1 other name. Lineage: Bacteria; Pseudomonadati; Pseudomonadota; Gammaproteobacteria; Enterobacterales; Enterobacteriaceae. The record is from RNAcentral.